GGGCGAGCCUCUGGAGGUUUUUUUCUCCAGCAUCCCAGCUCUCAGCAGGUGCCAGCCACCCCAGCACCCCACAGCCUCACCCCCAAGGGUGCCGCAGCAGCUGCAGACCCCAUCGCGGAGGGGGAGCCGAGGUGGUGUGGCCGUGGGGGCCGUGGAGACGCUGCUGGGUGGUGGCCGUUGCACAAAGGCCUUUCUGUCUGCGGCACCCCGGCUGUCCCCCGUCCCAGUUUUCGUCCCAGUUUUCUCAUUCCUGGGCCGGUGAAGGGGCUCUUUGUGCGCCGCCGGCGGUGGCUGGCUCCCGACACGGGGUCUCGCGCUGCAUUUUUCGCGCUGGUGGCAGCCAGGGCACGGAGGACCUGCUCACGUGCCUGCAUCCUGCUGCCAGGGCUGGCACCGCUCGGCGGGGAGGGACACCCGUGUCCCCAGCCCGUGACGGGGCCGUGGUGCUCGGGGACACGUCCCAUGGCACGGUCAUGCUCUGGGCAGCCUGGGUGCCUUGGCUGGGCGCAGGGGACACCGCGGCUGUGGGAUGCUGACCGAGGAUGCUCCCUGCCCCACCACGGUGCCCUCACACCUGUGUCUGCACGCAGGGAAGGCUCAGCUCAAUGGGAGCGGAGCGGGAAUGAUUCAGUGCCCGCAUUAAGCAGAUUUACGAGGUUAUUUCCCCAACGAAGGCGGCGUGUGUCACGCCGGCCUGGCCCAGGCUGUAUUAUCGCGGCGCUGCCAAACCUCAGCCCUUCCACUGAAACGGCUUCAAAGGGCAAUAAAACAAGGAUAAACACCGCCGCCCCGGCUCCGGGGCCACGGGGUUGUUUCUCCUCUCGCCCGUGUUUCCACCUCCCCUCCGUGACCUCGGUGGGAUCAGUGGGCCACCUCCCCAGCCCUCAGCCUGGCUCCGCGGAACGAGCCCGUGCUUGGGCUUAAACCAGCAGAAAAAGGGUCCAGGGAUGUUCCUGCCCGCACUUUGUUUUCAAGCUCCGGAGGAGGUUGCAACCUUCCAAGAAAUGCGUCCCUGGGAGCCUGCCCAGUGGGCGAGAGGACAGCCCCGGAACAUCACAGCGAGGAGGGAAGAUGGAAAACAAGCGAGGAACAGGGAAAAAAAAAAAAAGGGGAAAAAACAAUAUAUAUGUAUAAACACGGCGGGCAGCAGCGCCAGCACUUCGUGCUCUGGUCUUGAUUUGUUGUUGUUGUUUUUAAUCUCUGAUUUGGGAACUGGCUGCUAUUUAUAGCCCUCCCCUUUCCCCGCAGCGCCGCUGAUCCCUUCCAGAUGCUGGAGCCUGCCCCGCGCUGGG
Molecule: long non-coding RNA, 1292 nt
Filed under: Anas platyrhynchos platyrhynchos (common mallard)
Lineage: Eukaryota; Metazoa; Chordata; Aves; Anseriformes; Anatidae
Description: lncRNA (ENSAPLG00000029604.1)
Source: RNAcentral